CAGCAGCCGCGGUAAUACCGGCGGCCCGAGUGGCGGUCACUUUUAUUGGGCUUAAAGCGUCCGUAGCCGGGUUGGGAAGUCCUCCGGGAAAUCUGGCCGCUUAACGGUCAGAAUGCCCGAGGAUACUCCCAGCCUAGGGGGCGGGCGAGGCCGAGGGUAUUCCCGGAGGAGGGGUGAAAUCCUAUAAUCCCGGGAGGACCACCUGUGGCGAAGGCGCUCGGCUGGAACGCGUCCGACGGUGAGGGACGAAGGCCAGGGGAGCAAACCGGAUUAGAUACCCGGGUAGUCCUGGCGGUAAACGAUGCGGACUUUGUGUCGGACAAGCUAUGAGCUUGUCCGGUGCCGGAGGGAAACCGUUAAGUCCGCCGCCUGGGGAGUACGGCCGCAAGGCUGAAACUUAAAGGAAUUGGCGGG
RNAcentral lists this ribosomal RNA (414 nucleotides) under uncultured microorganism. RNAcentral's name for it is "bacterial SSU rRNA". It matches the Rfam family "Archaeal small subunit ribosomal RNA", at positions 459 to 872 of the family's 1478-position model. The record is from RNAcentral.